UCCAGAGUGGAUCCUGAGUACGGCGGAACACGUGAAAUUCCGUCGGAAUCCGGGAGGACCAUCUCCCAAGGCUAAAUACUCCCUAGUGACCGAUAGUGAACCAGUACCGUGAGGGAAAGGUGAAAAGCACCCCGGAAGGGGAGUGAAACAGUUCCUGAAACCGUGUGCCUACAAGUAGUUAGAGCCCGUUAAUGGGUGAUAGCGUGCCUUUUGUAGAAUGAACCGGCGAGUUACGAUUUGUUGCAAGGUUAAGCGGAAAAAGCGGAGCCGUAGCGAAAGCGAGUCUGAAUAGGGCGCAUAAGUAACAGGUCGUAGACCCGAAACCAGGUGAUCUACCCAUGUCCAGGAUGAAGGUAAGGUAAUACUUACUGGAGGUCCGAACCCACGCACGUUGAAAAGUGCGGGGAUGAGGUGUGGGUAGCGGAGAAAUUCCAAUCGAACUUGGAGAUAGCUGGUUCUCUCCGAAAUAGCUUUAGGGCUAGCCUCGAGGUAAAGAGUCAUGGAGGUAGAGCACUGUUUGGACUAGGGGCCCUUCUCGGGUUACCGAAUUCAGAUAAACUCCGAAUGCCAUGUACUUAUACUCGGGAGUCAGACUGCGAGUGAUAAGAUCCGUAGUCGAAAGGGAAACAGCCCAGACCACCAGUUAAGGUCCCCAAAUAUAUGUUAAGUGGAAAAGGAUGUGGGGUUGCUUAGACAACCAGGAUGUUGGCUUAGAAGCAGCCACCAUUGAAAGAGUGCGUAAUAGCUCACUGGUCGAGUGACCCCGCGCCGAAAAUGUACCGGGGCUAAACAUAUUACCGAAACUGUGGAUGAACCUCUUUAGAGGUUCGUGGUAGGAGAGCGUUCUAAGGGCGGUGAAGUCAGACCGGAAGGACUGGUGGAGCGCUUAGAAGUGAGAAUGCCGGUAUGAGUAGCGAAAGAAGGGUGAGAAUCCCUUCCACCGAAUAUCUAAGGUUUCCUGAGGAAGGCUCGUCCGCUCAGGGUUAGUCGGGACCUAAGCCGAGGCCGAUAGGCGUAGGCGAUGGACAACAGGUAGAGAUUCCUGUACCAGUGCUAAUUGUUUAACCGAUGGGGUGACACAGAAGGAUAGGGAAUCGCACGAAUGGAAAUGUGCGUCCAAGCAGUGAGUGUGAGAAGUAGGCAAAUCCGCUUCUCGCGAAGCAUGAGCUGUGAUGGGGAAGGAAAUUAAGUACGGAAGUUCCUGAUUUCACGCUGUCAAGAAAAGCCUCUAGGAAGAGUAGUACUGCCCGUACCGCAAACCGACACAGGUAGAUGAGGAGAGAAUCCUAAGGUGAGCGAGAGAACUCUCGUUAAGGAACUCGGCAAAAUGACCCCGUAACUUCGGGAGAAGGGGUGCUCUAUUAGGGUGCAAGCCCGAGAGAGCCGCAGUGAAUAGGCCCAGGCGACUGUUUAGCAAAAACACAGGUCUCUGCAAAACCGUAAGGUGACGUAUAGGGGCUGACGCCUGCCCGGUGCUGGAAGGUUAAGAGGAGUGCUUAGCUUCGGCGAAGGUACGAAUUGAAGCCCCAGUAAACGGCGGCCGUAACUAUAACGGUCCUAAGGUAGCGAAAUUCCUUGUCGGGUAAGUUCCGACCCGCACGAAAGGCGCAACGAUCUGGGCACUGUCUCAACGAGAGACUCGGUGAAAUUAUAGUACCUGUGAAGAUGCAGGUUACCCGCGACAGGACGGAAAGACCCCGUGGAGCUUUACUGCAACCUGAUAUGGAAUGUUUGUACCGCUUGUACAGGAUAGGUAGGAGCCGAAGAGACGUGUGCGCUAGCAUACGAGGAGGCAAUGGUGGGAUACUACCCUGGCUGUAUGACCAUUCUAACCCGCCACGCUUAGCGCGUGGGGAGACAGUGUCAGGUGGGCAGUUUGACUGGGGCGGUCGCCUCCUAAAGAGUAACGGAGGCGCCCAAAGGUUCCCUCAGAAUGGAUGGAAAUCAUUCGCAGAGUGUAAAGGCACAAGGGAGCUUGACUGCGAGACUGACAAGUCGAGCAGGGACGAAAGUCGGGCUUAGUGAUCCGGUGGUUCCGCAUGGAAGGGCCAUCGCUCAACGGAUAAAAGCUACCCCGGGGAUAACAGGCUUAUCUCCCCCAAGAGUCCACAUCGACGGGGAGGUUUGGCACCUCGAUGUCGGCUCGUCGCAUCCUGGGGCUGUAGUCGGUCCCAAGGGUUGGGCUGUUCGCCCAUUAAAGCGGCACGCGAGCUGGGUUCAGAACGUCGUGAGACAGUUCGGUCCCUAUCCGUCGCGGGCGCAGGAAAUUUGAGAGGAGCUGUCCUUAGUACGAGAGGACCGGGAUGGACACACCGCUGGUGUACCAGUUGUUCCGCCAGGAGCAUCGCUGGGUAGCUAUGUGUGGCAGGGAUAAACGCUGAAAGCAUCUAAGCGUGAAGCCCCCCUCAAGAUGAGAUUUCCCAUUUCUUCGGAAAGUAAGAUCCCUGAAAGAUGAUCAGGUAGAUAGGUUUGGAGUGGAAGUGUAGCGAUACAUGGAGCGGACAAAUACUAAUCGAUCGAGGACUUAACCAAAA
Molecule: ribosomal RNA, 2534 nt
Filed under: Listeria monocytogenes
Lineage: Bacteria; Bacillati; Bacillota; Bacilli; Caryophanales; Listeriaceae
Description: bacterial LSU rRNA
Rfam family: Bacterial large subunit ribosomal RNA
Source: RNAcentral